UGGGACACGGGUGCCUGGCCAUGCUUCGUAUCGGUUGAUCUAGCAGCUAGAGCAUGUUUGCAAAGCCUGCCCUGUGAGAAUGAUAAAUUGAAGUGAUACAUGUGUGAUCUCACCUGUACGGCUCAGGAGUUCCCUGGUAAGACAUUCAGUUCGUUCUUCAGUUACUGGCACCUCCAGGGAAAAUGUACAAAACAAUCUUGAAGUGCUACUCCAAUAUGUUCUCCACUAACUCUUCAAUGGUUGAAGAAACUAGCUCUGGAGAGAAAACACCAGAAAGUCAUCAAUCAGGCUGCUGGAAAAGGAAACCCGACUGAAGUCUGAAGCUCUGGAUGAGCAUAACCUGGAAAUCUGCCUGUCUGCCCACGUAAGCCAAACCUGAAGAUCUCAGUCUGGAUUCCUCCGUCAGUUCUCUGGGAAGAGCUAGGAAAUAAACCCAAGUCCGAAAACCCUCUGGCUUGAAGCUAGACGCUGCUGCUGCUGAGCUCUCUGCUACUUCCACAGUCUCUGGACCCAACCGAUUCCCCCUCUCAAAGGAUCUGUUAGAACCUCUUCUAGGUACGAUCAGAAUUCAACUCACUCGUCAAGCCAUAACCACCUGGCUAACCAAACUCUCAUCUCUCCAGAUAUAAGAGUAACCAGUCCCGGACCUGCACCAGAACCAGUUCCUGAUUAACUCUGUGUAUGUUUCCCAAAUAAACAUUGUUAAACUUUCCUCUGUCUCCGUUAGUGUUCUGCAUGUGGGUUUUCGUUCAUUAAACCA
Molecule: long non-coding RNA, 760 nt
Organism: Cyprinodon tularosa
Lineage: Eukaryota; Metazoa; Chordata; Actinopteri; Cyprinodontiformes; Cyprinodontidae
Exons: 4
Source: RefSeq, a predicted model, not a curated record